UUGAACGCUGGCGGCAUGCUUUACACAUGCAAGUCGAACGGCAGCGCGGGCUUCGGCCUGGCGGCGAGUGGCGAACGGGUGAGUAAUACAUCGGAACGUGCCCAGUAGUGGGGGAUAGCUCGGCGAAAGCCGGAUUAAUACCGCAUACGACCUGAGGGUGAAAGCGGGGGAUCUUCGGACCUCGCGCUAUUGGAGCGGCCGAUGGCAGAUUAGCUAGUUGGUGGGGUAAAGGCCUACCAAGGCGACGAUCUGUAGCUGGUCUGAGAGGACGACCAGCCACACUGGGACUGAGACACGGCCCAGACUCCUACGGGAGGCAGCAGUGGGGAAUUUUGGACAAUGGGCGAAAGCCUGAUCCAGCAAUGCCGCGUGUGUGAUGAAGGCCUUCGGGUUGUAAAGCACUUUUGGCGGGAACGAAAAGGACUGUACCAAUACCACGGUUCGAUGACGGUACCCGCAGAAUAAGCACCGGCUAACUACGUG
RNAcentral lists this ribosomal RNA (483 nucleotides) under uncultured bacterium. Its description in RNAcentral is "partial 16S ribosomal RNA". It matches the Rfam family "Bacterial small subunit ribosomal RNA", at positions 29 to 507 of the family's 1533-position model. The record is from RNAcentral.